This 330-nucleotide small RNA is filed under the name Histoplasma capsulatum var. duboisii H88. RNAcentral describes it as "Histoplasma capsulatum H88 hypothetical RNA". The record is from RNAcentral. Lineage: Eukaryota; Fungi; Ascomycota; Eurotiomycetes; Onygenales; Ajellomycetaceae.
CACAUGCGAAGGAGAAGAGGCAAAACAUCCCAGCUCAUGCCCGCCUGUCAUUGCUGUCAUUUCCGUCAAGAGCGUUUCCCGCGCAGCGAGAGGGCAAGCAGACGGUGUCCUGGUGGCUGAAGAGCAUCGCCACCCAGCUGGUCUAGUGCGGUAUCUGGGAGGUUUAUUCUUCAUGUAUGGACAGCUGGAGAUGGAGGACGGAGGCUGAGCAGGGUUGCGGUUUGAGCUCUUCUUCGUCCUCGUGCUAUGGCUAUUUCUCUGCGAUGUUCUUUUGAGAGCAGUGGAGCGAUGCCUGGCUCUCGUUUGUCUGUGGACUUCCCCUUGUCUGUG